AUGCUUACUUCAACAGCACAUUUACUAAAAUUGGGAAGAUACAGAGAAGAUUAGCGUGGCCUCUACACAAGGAUGACUUGCAAAUCUAUGAAGUGUUGCAUAUGAAA
This is a small nuclear RNA of Arvicola amphibius (Eurasian water vole), 107 nucleotides long. The record is from RefSeq and is a predicted model, not a curated record. NCBI's taxonomy places the organism in Eukaryota, Metazoa, Chordata, Mammalia, Rodentia, Cricetidae.